RNAcentral lists this ribosomal RNA (253 nucleotides) under uncultured bacterium. RNAcentral's name for it is "partial 16S ribosomal RNA". It matches the Rfam family "Bacterial small subunit ribosomal RNA", at positions 524 to 776 of the family's 1533-position model. The record is from RNAcentral.
UACGGAGGGUGCAAACGUUGCUCGGAAUCAUUGGGCGUAAAGCGCACGUAGGCGGUCUUUUAAGUCGGACGUGAAAUCCCUCGGCUUAACCGGGGAACUGCGUCUGAUACUGGAUGGCUUGAGUUCGGGAGAGGGAUGCGGAAUUCCAGGUGUAGCGGUGAAAUGCGUAGAUAUCUGGAGGAACACCGGUGGCGAAGGCGGCAUCCUGGACCGACACUGACGCUGAGGAGCGAAAGCCAGGGGAGCAAACGGG